This 595-nucleotide long non-coding RNA is filed under the name Setaria viridis. Its description in RNAcentral is "long non-coding RNA (SVIR_LNC007291)". Lineage: Eukaryota; Viridiplantae; Streptophyta; Magnoliopsida; Poales; Poaceae. The record is from RNAcentral.
GAAGGAAUGAGAAACAUAGCGGAAAAUAGAUCAGAUCUAAAAAGCGCUUGAACAAGGCAAUGACAUGAAAAUACCUCGGGAAUAGAAGCAGAGGUCACCAUUGAUUGACUUUGGAGCUUCGGUCUCUGCGGGGAAGGUUGAGGAUGACCGGUGAUGAAGACGCCCCGAUUUGUGGUGAUGGGAAACUUGGUUGGCUUGAGGUAGAAGAAGAAAGGAUGGAGCGGUUAUAUAAUAGUAUUGUUGAUCGGGUGAAUUCCGAAAAUCGAGGGCAACGCCAUCACAAGGACCGGGAAAAGAAUCAUGAUUGCGGCAAUGACUCUUUUGGUUUUGGAAGGAUAUCGGCUCGGGACCUAUGAAGAUGCUGACAAGAGAAGAAAAUUUUGGAAUAUAAUAUUAUAUCCCAAAAUUGGGGGGCAUGUGUUGACACCGGUUUUUGGCCAGAGUCAACCAUUGUUCUGACAGCCAAUAGAGGAGAAAGGAAGAACCUGAAGUUGACGCCGUGUUGACCAAGACUGGCUGCUGUUGACCACGAUUCCAGAAGCCGAUGGAAGACUAGGCGCGCCUAGUUCGAAGCGAAAUCCACUCCACCAAAUAA